UGUUGUGUACAUGCCUACAAUGUUAAUGCACUAGUUCCCAUCAUAACUCCGCAGUUAAGCGUGCUUGGGCUAGAGUAGUAUUAGGAUGGGUGACCUCCUUGGAAGUCCUAGUGUUUUAUAUGCC
Molecule: non-coding RNA, 124 nt
Organism: Picea glauca (white spruce)
Lineage: Eukaryota; Viridiplantae; Streptophyta; Pinopsida; Pinales; Pinaceae
Source: Rfam